This 253-nucleotide ribosomal RNA is filed under the name uncultured bacterium. RNAcentral describes it as "partial 16S ribosomal RNA". It matches the Rfam family "Bacterial small subunit ribosomal RNA", at positions 524 to 776 of the family's 1533-position model. The record is from RNAcentral.
UACGGAGGGAGCUAGCGUUGUUCGGAAUUACUGGGCGUAAAGCGCACGUAGGCGGCUUUGUAAGUUAGAGGUGAAAGCCUGGAGCUCAACUCCAGAAUUGCCUUUAAGACUGCAUCGCUUGAAUCCAGGAGAGGUGAGUGGAAUUCCGAGUGUAGAGGUGAAAUUCGUAGAUAUUCGGAAGAACACCAGUGGCGAAGGCGGUGCUCUGGGCCGGAACUGACACUGAGGAGCGAAAGCGUGGGUAGCAAACAGG